UGAAAAAAAAAAAAAGAGUUAAGUUCUAAACUCCUUGUAAUUUUUUAGAAGGGGAAUAAGCAUCGGCUAACUCUGUGCCAGCAGCCGCGGUAAGACAGAGGAUGC
Molecule: ribosomal RNA, 105 nt
Filed under: Olea europaea subsp. europaea
Lineage: Eukaryota; Viridiplantae; Streptophyta; Magnoliopsida; Lamiales; Oleaceae
Description: SSU_rRNA_bacteria
Source: RNAcentral